AUUGAACGCUGGCGGCAGGCCUAACACAUGCAAGUCGAGCGGAUGAAGGGAGCUUGCUUCUGGAUCCAGAGGCGGAAGGGUGAGUAAUGCCUAGGAAUCUGCCUGGUAGUGGGGGAUAACGUCCGGAAACGGGCGCUAAUACCGCAUACGACCUGCGGGAGAAAGUGGGGGAUCUUCGGACCUCACGCUAUCAGAUGAGUCUAGGUCGGAGUAGCUAGUUGGUGGGGUAAAGGCCUACCAAGGCGACGAUCCGUAACUGGUCUGAGAGGAUGAUCAGUCGCACGGGAACUUGGACACGGUCCAUGCGCCUACGGGAGGCAGCAGUGGGGAAUGUUGGACAAUGGUCGGAAACCUGAUCCAGCCAUGCCGCGUGUGUUGAGAAGGUCUUCGGAUUGUAAAGCACUUUAAGUUGGUAUGAAGGGCAGUAAGUUAAUACCUAGCUGUUUUGACGGUACCAACAGAAUAAGCACCGGCUAACUUCGUG
Molecule: ribosomal RNA, 484 nt
Filed under: uncultured bacterium
Lineage: Bacteria
Description: partial 16S ribosomal RNA
Rfam family: Bacterial small subunit ribosomal RNA
Source: RNAcentral